CCCUGGGUCAGUUGAAAGCCCAUACAGUUGGAUUGGUUGAAAGCCAUUCAGAUUACGUCUUCUGUUCUGGUGUUCGGAUUAAUUGACUGUCACAUAAUGUGCCGCUGGUUCUGCAGACAGUAAAGCCGUGGGAAAGAGGGGAGACAUUGCCUAGUGCAGCAGGUAAACAGACAGAUGAAAAAUGGACCUCUUAAGUAAGUAAAUAUAAAUAAAUAAUACCCGUAAAGAACGCUGGGGCUGAUGAAUUAACGGUCUGACUCAGAAAAAAAGCAGCUGCUUAUGCUGCUUCAAGACCAAACAGAGCACAUUAGAAAAACAAAAUACUGCAAGAGGCAUUUCUCUUUUCUGUGUUUCUUUGAACUCUGCUAUGAAUCCCCUGAAGAACUCUUGUGGGGAGGGGGGAGAAUGCAAAUUGUACAGCAGGAACAUUAAGAUAUCCAGGCACAACAGUUUCAUCCAACACCUCAGCAAAUGAACAGUCACAAAGUUGGUCCCAGAAGAUUUACCGCCGCAGUCAUCUUGCAACGAGGUAGAACUAUUUAAAAUGAAAAUGAAUUGACUCUCUGCCGUGUGUAUUUUGCAGGGAAAUCACCUGCUUGGGAUCUGCGGUAGCGAUUUGCUUCUCUCUAUUUCCCAAGAAAACAAGAAUCCAGGAAUCUUAGCCAAAAAAAGAUAUGACAACUUGAAAUGCCUAAUUUAGCAGGAUUCCUCAGGAAUUGCAAGAAAGCUGAAUAUUGUUGUGAAGGAAAUUUCUCACAGGCAUCUUACCAC
This is a non-coding RNA of Podarcis lilfordi (Lilford's wall lizard), 771 nucleotides long. The record is from the annotation of a GenBank genome assembly. Lineage: Eukaryota; Metazoa; Chordata; Lepidosauria; Squamata; Lacertidae.